This 249-nucleotide ribosomal RNA is filed under the name uncultured bacterium. Its description in RNAcentral is "partial 16S ribosomal RNA". It matches the Rfam family "Bacterial small subunit ribosomal RNA", at positions 524 to 772 of the family's 1533-position model. The record is from RNAcentral.
AACGUAGGAGGCGAGCGUUAUCCGGAUUUACUGGGCGUAAAGCGUGUGUAGGCGGUACGGCAAGUUGGAUGUGAAAGCUCCUGGCUUAACUAGGAGAGGUCGUUCAAAACUACCGAACUUGAGUUUAUCAGAGGAAGAUGGAAUUCCGGGUGUAGUGGUGAAAUGCGUAGAUAUCCGGAGGAACACCAGUGGCGAAAGCGGCCUCCUGGCCCAUUUCUGACGCUCAGACACGAAAGCUAAGGUAGCAAA